AGAAUCAACGCUGGCGGCGUGCCUAACACAUGCAAGUCGAACGAGAAAGUGGAGCAAUCCAUUAGUAAAGUGGCGCACGGGUGAGUAACACGUGACUAACCUACCUUUUAGUGGGGGAUAACCUAGGGAAACCUGGGCUAAUACCGCAUAAUACCUACGGGUCAAAGCAGCAAUGCGCUGAAAGAGGGGGUCGCGGUCGAUUAGUUAGUUGGCAGGGUAAUGGCCUACCAAGACUGUGAUCGAUAUCCGGCCUGAGAGGGCGCACGGACACACCUGGAACUGAAACACGGUCCAGACUCCUACGGGAGGCAGCAGUGGGAAUUUUGCGCAAUGGGGGAAACCCUGACGCAGCAACGCCGCGUGGAGGAUGAAGUCCUUGGGACGUAAACUCCUUUCGAUCGGGACGAUAAUGACGGUACCGGAAGAAGAAGCCCCGGCUAACUUCGUGCCAGCACGCCGC
RNAcentral lists this ribosomal RNA (460 nucleotides) under uncultured bacterium. RNAcentral's name for it is "SSU rRNA". It matches the Rfam family "Bacterial small subunit ribosomal RNA", at positions 26 to 518 of the family's 1533-position model. The record is from RNAcentral.